UUGUUCCUACGGGGCGCAGCAGUGGGGAAUAUUGCACAAUGGGGGAAACCCUGAUGCAGCGACGCCGCGUGAGUGAAGAAGGAUUUCGGUAUGUAAAGCUCUAUCAGCAGGGAAGAAAAUGACGGUACCUGACUAAGAAGCCCCGGCUAACUACGUGCCAGCAGCCGCGGGAAUACGUAGGGGGCAAGCGUUAUCCGGAUUUACUGGGUGUAAAGGGAGCGGAGACGGCAUGGCAAG
Molecule: ribosomal RNA, 237 nt
Filed under: uncultured bacterium
Lineage: Bacteria
Description: partial 16S ribosomal RNA
Rfam family: Bacterial small subunit ribosomal RNA
Source: RNAcentral